Molecule: unclassified non-coding RNA, 350 nt
Filed under: soil metagenome
Description: partial contains 5.8S ribosomal RNA, internal transcribed spacer 2, and large subunit ribosomal RNA
Rfam family: 5.8S ribosomal RNA (bases 1-119)
Source: RNAcentral
GAUGAAGAACGCAGCGAAAUGCGAUAAGUAAUGUGAAUUGCAGAAUUCAGUGAAUCAUCGAAUCUUUGAACGCACAUUGCGCCCGCCAGUAUUCUGCGGGCAUGCCUGUUCGAGCGUCAUUACAACCCUCAGGCCCCCGGGCCUGGCGUUGGGGAUCGGCGGAGCCCCCCGUGGGCACACGCCGUCCCCCAAAUGCAGUGGCGGUCCCGCCGCAGCUUCCAUCGCGUAGUAGCUAACACCUCGCGACUGGAGAGCGGCGCGGCCACGCCGUAAAACACCCAACUCUUCUGAAGUUGACCUCGAAUCAGGUAGGAAUACCCGCUGAACUUAAGCAUAUCAUAAGCGGAGGA